This 311-nucleotide long non-coding RNA is filed under the name Musa acuminata (dwarf banana). Its description in RNAcentral is "long non-coding RNA (MACU_LNC010662)". The record is from RNAcentral. Lineage: Eukaryota; Viridiplantae; Streptophyta; Magnoliopsida; Zingiberales; Musaceae.
CUACCUCGCCUCUUGCUCUGGCUUGGCUCAUAUAUCUCUUAUAUCAAAUACCCUGUAUGCUUAGUAUUAGUGAUGCAGAGUAUAAGACCGGAUUGAGAGUCACCAACAACAAGAACUGCAUUAGCAUCAGCAGGAAUUGAUUCUGAUCCGGAUACUUAUUAUAGAGGCCCGACCUAACCUACAAAGAAAGUCUGCCCUGAACAACCCUAAAGAUAUUGGUGUCAAAUGAACUAUUUCAUCACUUUUGGAGUUUGAUGGUCUUACCCCGACCCUACCUCUGUUAUUGAUAACUUGACUAGCUGCCUCGCCUC